CUGUUUCCAAUCAAUGACAUUGUCACGUUCACAACAGACUCCGGCAAAUUGGUUAACUGCCAACGUUUCUAUUUCUUGCAGCGAAUGAAAAAAAAGCACUCCCCCCCCCCCCCUCCGGAUUACAUUGCAACUGCCCUGGAAGGCAGGGCCGGAGAGAAGGGUGGCUGGCAGCUGAGAAGGAGAGGCAGCAAGAGAACAGUAUAGGAAUCUGGCACUGGUGAGGUCACCCUGGUGCAGGCAAGGGGAGUUGUAUGUGGAACACAAGACAGCCCAGGAGUGGGUUGGGAGCAGGAGGCAGUGAGGAGACAGAACAAAGGAAGAGGACGACUACAUACAAGAAAAUGUGAGUGUUGAUUGUUAGUGUGGAGUAAGAGCCAUGAGGACAGCUGCGGAAGUGAGAGUGGCAUGGGUGACAGCAGAGACUGAAGUGGGAUCAGAGAAUGUGUAUUGGGGACAAUUACAAUCCAUGUAGUUCAGUGAAGAAGCUGGUAUUGGGGAGAAGGAGUUAUGAAGCAGCCAUUGCAAUCAGUCAAAUAGUGCUCAUUAGUAAGUUCCAAUACUGGAUGGCCAUCUUUGGCAUUCAGAUUCUUUAUUGCCAUUGACCACAUACAGUAGAAUAGACUUUUACAAUGAUAGUAAGAUACAAAUAUUGAUCACGUUACAUGUAAAAAUUAAAUACCUUAUAUACAGCUAUAAUCUUAAUUAUUAAUAUCAAUAUUGUCAAUAUCAUAGAACUCUUUUAUAUAACAACAUGGGUUUUUUGUUAGCCCGUCAUAUAAUUUUAUUUUGAACUUUUUAAAAGGCAAGGAUUGAGCGACAAAAGGAAAUUUGUUAAAAAUUUUGAGGGCAUUCGCUUUACGGGAGUUUCCUGUUAUUGCUAGCCUGUGCCUUGGAAUGUCAAUGUUUGCCUUAUUUCUAGUAUUGUGUUUGUGAAUUGUAUUCCUGAUGAUACAGUCUUUAAAUUUAUUCCUGACAAAGAUUGCAGCCUCAUAUGUAUACAGAUUCACCACUGUUAGUAUCCUAAGCCUGGUAAAAAGAGGGUGACAGUGUUCUACAAGACCAGCAUUACACAUUAUACAAACAGUUGUAUUUUUUGGCAUCAAUAUGUAUUCCUAAGAGCUUGACACUUUUAUUUUCUCUCGUCUUAGAUAAUCCUAACAUAAGCUUUUGGGUUUUGUCUGGAUUACACACAGAUUUAUUGCCUGCAAACGAAUUUAAUGCAGAGUCAAGAGUUUCUUGUGUAAUCUUAUCAAGGGUUGGGACAUCAUGGUGUGAAGUAAGCAGAGUUGUAUCAUCUGCAUAGCAGAUUACAGACUGUGAUACAGAAUGGGGCAGAUCAUUGAUAGCCACAAUGAAAAAGAAGGGGGCCAAGGACAGAUCCCUGUGGCACACCUGUACCAAUUUCUACUAAGGGGGUAAUGGCUUAUUUCUAAUUGAGACAACUGUCUUCUGUUAGUCAAAUAGGAAGAAAUUAUUGCUAAUGUAGAUUUUUAUACACCAUAAUACUCCAGUUUUGUUAAUAAUUUGUUCAAAGGAAUGCAAUAAAAAAAAGCUUUACUUAGAUCACAUAA
Molecule: long non-coding RNA, 1571 nt
Organism: Schistocerca gregaria
Lineage: Eukaryota; Metazoa; Arthropoda; Insecta; Orthoptera; Acrididae
Exons: 2
Source: RefSeq, a predicted model, not a curated record